UGCCAGCCGCCGCGGUAAUACGGAGGGGGCUAGCGUUGUUCGGAAUUACUGGGCGUAAAGCGCACGUAGGCGGUGUGCAUAGUCAGAGGUGAAAGCCCGGGGCUCAACCCCGGAAUUGCCUUUGAUACUUGCAUACUAGAAUCCAUGAGAGGGUAGUGGAACUCCUAGUGUAGAGGUGAAAUUCGUAGAUAUUAGGAAGAACACCAGUGGCGAAGGCGACUGCCUGGCAUGGUAUUGACGCUGAGGUGCGAAAGCGUGGGGAGCGAACAGGAUUAGAUA
This 279-nucleotide ribosomal RNA is filed under the name uncultured bacterium. RNAcentral describes it as "partial 16S ribosomal RNA". It matches the Rfam family "Bacterial small subunit ribosomal RNA", at positions 506 to 784 of the family's 1533-position model. The record is from RNAcentral.